CUGAAUUGUCAACACGAGUUGUUGCUGGCCCCUCAAACGGGGGCAUGUGCACGCUCUGUUUGCAUCCACUCACACCUGUGCACCUUCUGUAGUUCUAUGGUUGGGGAGGCAAAUGUCUCCCCUCCUGUGGUUCUACGUCUUUACACACACACUGUAACGUAGUCUUAUGGAAUGCAUGCAGCGUUUAACGCAAUACAAUA
RNAcentral lists this unclassified non-coding RNA (200 nucleotides) under uncultured fungus. RNAcentral's name for it is "sequence contains ITS1, 5.8S rRNA gene". The record is from RNAcentral. Lineage: Eukaryota; Fungi.